This 1042-nucleotide small RNA is filed under the name Pongo abelii (Sumatran orangutan). Its description in RNAcentral is "processed transcript". The record is from RNAcentral. Lineage: Eukaryota; Metazoa; Chordata; Mammalia; Primates; Hominidae.
GUGAUCUGCAACUCUUUCACCAUCUGUAAUGCAGAGAUGCAGGAAGUUGGUGUUGGCCUAUAUCCUAGUAUCUCUUUGCUCAAUCACAGCUGUGACCCCAACUGUUCGAUUGUGUUUAAUGGGCCCCACCUCUUACUGCGAGCAGUCCGAGACAUCGAGGUGGGAGAGGAGCUCACUAUCUGCUACCUGGAUAUGCUGAUGACCAGUGAGGAGCGCCGGAAGCAGCUGAGGGACCAGUACUGCUUUGAAUGUGACUGUUUCCGUUGCCAAACCCAGGACAAGGAUGCUGAUAUGCUAACUGGUGAUGAGCAAGUAUGGAAGGAAGUUCAAGAAUCCCUGAAAAAAAUUGAAGAACUGAAGGCACACUGGAAGUGGGAGCAGGUUCUGGCCAUGUGCCAGGCGAUCAUAAGCAGCAAUUCUGAACGGCUUCCCGAUAUCAACAUCUACCAGCUGAAGGUGCUCGACUGCGCCAUGGAUGCCUGCAUCAACCUCGGCCUGUUGGAGGAAGCCUUGUUCUAUGGUACUCGGACCAUGGAGCCAUACAGUUAAAUAAGACCAGGAAAAAAUCUUCUUUUAAAAAACUGAGCUCGAUCUGUCCUGAUUCCUGGUGCUGCUUCAGGAUUUUUUUCCCAGGAAGCCAUCCCGUCAGAGGCGUUCAAGUGAUGAAAGUUGGCAAACUGCAGCUACAUCAAGGCAUGUUUCCCCAAGCAAUGAAGAAUCUGAGACUGGCUUUUGAUAUUAUGAGAGUGACACAUGGCAGAGAACACAGCCUGAUUGAAGAUUUGAUUCUACUUUUAGAAGAAUGCGACGCCAACAUCAGAGCAUCCUAAGGGAACGCAGUCAGAGGGAAAGAUGGCGUGUGUCUUUGUUGAAUGCCUUAUUGAGGUCACACACUCUAUACUUUGUUAGCUGUGUGAACCUCUCCUAUUGGAAAUUCUGUUCUGUGUUUGUGUAGGUAAAUAAAGGCAGACAUGGUUUGCAAACCACAAGAAUCAUUAGUUGUAGAGAAGCACAAUUAUAAUAAAUUCAAAACAUUUGGUUG